GGGAUGCAGUCUGGGACACGUAGUUGCAAACCUAGCGACUUUGUUGUUAGAUUCAAUGACUUUUCAGACCCCCUAACAACUUUUUUUUAGAAAGAAAGGGACUUUUAUCGACUUCUUCUGGAGUUUAGAGACUCUGACAUGAAGCAGGCUUUCCUUACUGAGGAGUUAGCAACGCUGCUAAGGGUGCAGAGCCACACAUGCGCUCAGAGCUCUGCAUGGGAGACUGAAGCUGACAGAGCUGCAGCAGUUAGCAGGUUUCACCCUCAGAGACCACCAGGGGUUCAUGUUGAGGCAUUUUGAAUUUUUUUUUUUGUGCCAUAGACACUGUCAGCACAAUCUGCAGUUACACUAACAAAAAUGCUGCAAAAAACAAAGAAUUAUGGAAAAAUUACACAUGGACUGACAUAGAGGAGGAUCUACGCAAGUUUUUUACAUCAUGUUUUACAUCAUGCAUCAUUUACAUCAUGUUUUUUUGUAGUGGCAUAAAUAAAAAGUGACAUUUGUGAGACUAUACAGUGUUUUGUAAAUAAUUUUACAAAGAACGCCUGGGCCAUUGCCUGCAUUUUGAUGUAAAUAGAGGUAAAUCACUAUGUUCUUUGUUUAAAAUUUGCAUAUGUUUUGAAGUUUACAAUUUUUUAUUUGAAGUUUAAGUUUUAAAAACAGUUCAUCACACAUAUUUGUGGUUUUCACAGUAAAAAUGUUACUUUUUUCCACUCGGAUUUUAUGUUUUGUGUGUGAAUUUGGGUCCAUUGUGUAAAUUCAGUAUGUCAACAUGAUAAAAUAACUGUAAAUUCGCACAGGUGAGGUUGUGCUGAAAAAAAUGAUACCAGGUAAGGCACGUGAUUGUCAAAUUUUGUGUCAAUAUGACAAAGCGUAUAGGCGUGAAUCUCAACAAUAUGUAUUUUCACCUUAGGGGACAAGAAAAAAUGGACUUUUUUCUCCUGCCAUGGGGGGGCGCUCUUUUGGGGAGUAAAAAUUCCUUCACAAAUGUGUUGAUGGCUGGACAUUGCAUCAUCCUAGAAAACUUGGAGGCCAGUGAGGACAAAAAUAAAAAGUUAUAAGACUUUUAAAUAUGUGGAUUUUAGGGUUAUCUUUGGCGCCCCCUAGAACCUAAACCUUGGGGUGCAGCGUCAUGAUUUUGAUAACUUUUAAUGGCCACGGGGUGUAGAUUGGCCUGAGCAAAUGUGGUGCCGGUGGAACGAAAGCCUUAGGAGGAGUUAGCCACAUUCCAAUGUGUGCGGAUCGGCAAAAAAUGCGAAAUAACCCUUUAACCGUACAUUUGACAGAUACGCGCGCAUUGACUUUUUCGUAGAUCUUAUUGAGUUACAUGUGUGUGUCAAUUUUUGUGUCAUUUUGACAAAGUGUAUAGGCGUGACACUCAACAAUGUGUAUUUUCACCUUAGGGGACAAGAAAAAAUGGACUUUUUUCUCCUGCCAUGGGGGGGCGCUCUUUUGGGGAGUAAAAAUUCCUUCACAAAUGUGUUGAUGGCUGGACAUUGCAUCAUCCUAGAAAACUUGGAGGCCAGUGAGGACAAAAAUAAAAAGUUAUAAGACUUUUAAAUAUGUGGAUUUUAGUGUUAUCUUUGGCGCCCCCUAGAACCUAAACCUUGGGGUGCAGCGUCAUGAUUUUGAUAACUUUUAAUGGCCACGGGGUGUAGAUUGGCCUGAGCAAAUGUGGUGCCGGUGGAACGAAAGCCUUUGGAGGAGUUAGCGAAAUUCCAAUGUGUGCGGAUCGGCAAAAAAUGCGAAAUAACCCUUUAACCGUAAUUUUGACAGAUACGGCCGCACUGACUUUUUUGUAGAUCUUAUUGAGAUACAUAUGUGUGUCAAUUUUUGUGUCAAUAUGACAAAGCGUACAGGUGUGACAGUCAAUAGUGUGAAUUUCCACCUUAGGGGGCGCUAUGGAGCCAUUUUGCAUUUUAUUGUUUGGGCGACUUCAGAAUAUCGAAUUUUUCACCAGGCCCGGUCGUCCUGCCAAAUUUCAUGAGUUUUCGCCAGUGGGAAGUGGGCCAUUUUCCAGUUCAAAGGGGAGGAAAAAGAAGAAAGAAAGAAAGAACUAGGACCCCGUUGGGGCACUGGCGGGCCCGAGCCGUGUCGCGUCCCCCCCCAACGUGCUGCCUCCCCGUCCCAUUUGUGUCCUCUGGCCAUCGCCCUCUCUGGUAACGCCCAUCACUGCAAAGACCCUUUUCCUUCAUCGGCGUUUGCUGUUCUUCCUGCCAGUGCGUGUUGCUUUCACUUACACUUGCCACAGCCAGCCUCGUGAGUGCCUAGCCUAUUGGAUAUCACUGUCACCUACACAGGACAGUCAUUACCUUUCUAUUAAUACUUUGUGUUUUAAUUUCACAUUAAUUUCCAUAUUGUAUAAACAACUGGAAAAAACUUGAGCCCCUGCCCCUGUAUAAUCAUGUGCAUGUCUCUGUUCUAGCUCCAAGGUGAAUCUUCACUGCUCAUGUUCUCCUCAGAAGCACUCACCUCACUCCCCUCAGGUUACUGUACACAUGCACCAACUGCCUGCUUCAGGUUUGGAUGGAGCUUCAUGGUUGUCUUUUGGAGAAAUGAGCAGUCAAGUUGUGUUUGAAAUUUGAUUUUUUUCAGGGGCAAAAGGAGCCUCUGCAUUCUUGUCAAAUAUGUAAAUAGCAUGUUUUUGCAGGUGCUAAAAACCAGACUCUGAGUGUGUGUGUGUGUGUGUGUGUGUGUGUGUGUGUGCGUGUGUGUGUGUGUCUGUGUGUGCGUUCAAGUCACAUGACAUAUUUAACCGGAUGUAGCUGCAAGACGGAGCCUCGUUGACUCUCCGUUUCAACUUAUCUCAAAAGUGAGGACCUCAACCUAUAUACCAGUUUUUAAAUUGUGUUGAUAGGCCAAAUAAAACCAGAGUUAUGAUAAAUUAUGUCCGCGAUACUUUUUUUCUGCUUAUUUUGAUCACGUUCGGCGCUCGAUCGCGCUGUAUGAGACAGGAAAACAUAGCAUGCAGACAUUAGCGACAGCUCUUACAGGCGGAAAAGGCUUGCCAAAAGAAAAAAAAAAACACACCACAACAUCUCUCCUAUUGGUGGAAAACUUCACCACAACAACCAAUCCAAAAUUAUAUGGUGACUGAUUGACAAGGGGCGGGCGCUUACGUUCUUCCUGCAACAUGAGAAGGGAGGGAGGGACUCUCAGCAGGGAUGCAGUCUGGGACACGUAGUUGCAAACCUAGCGACUUUGUUGUUAGAUUCAAUGACUUUUCAGACCCCCUAACGACUUUUUUUUAGAAAGAAAGGGACUUUUAUCGACUUCUUCUGGAGUUUAGAGACUCUGACAUGAAGCAGGCUUUCCUUACUGAGGAGUUAGCAACGCUGCUAAGGGUGCAGAGCCACACAUGCGCUCAGAGCUCUGCAUGGGAGACUGAAGCUGACAGAGCUGCAGCAGUUAGCAGGUUUCACCCUCAGAGACCACCAGGGGUUCAUGUUGAGGCAUUUUAAUUUUUUUUUUUUUUGUGCCAUAGACACUGUCAGCACAAUCUGCAGUUACACUAACAAAAAUGCUGCAAAAAACAAAGAAUUAUGGAAAAAUUACACAUGGACUGACAUACAGGAGGAUCUACACAAGUUUUUUACAUCAUGUUUUACAUCAUGCAUCAUUUACAUCAUGUUUUUUUGUAGUGGCAUAAAUAAAAAGUGACAUUUGUGAGACUAUACAGUGUUUUGUAAAUAAUUUUACAAAGAACGCCUGGGCCAUUGCCUGCAUUUUGAUGUAAAUAGAGGUAAAUCACUAUGUUCUUUGUUAAAAAUUUGCAUAUGUUUUGAAGUUUACAAUUUUUAUUUGAAGUUUAAGUUUUAAAAACAGUUCAUCACACAUAU
Molecule: long non-coding RNA, 3839 nt
Filed under: Xyrichtys novacula (pearly razorfish)
Lineage: Eukaryota; Metazoa; Chordata; Actinopteri; Labriformes; Labridae
Source: RNAcentral